This 1059-nucleotide ribosomal RNA is filed under the name Triticum aestivum (bread wheat). RNAcentral describes it as "partial small subunit ribosomal RNA". Lineage: Eukaryota; Viridiplantae; Streptophyta; Magnoliopsida; Poales; Poaceae. The record is from RNAcentral.
AUGUCCUUUUCGGUGACCCAUCGGCCUCGCCCCACCACACGGUCCAACUCCUCAGUGGCUUUGGCAAGCACCUCUGGCUUCUUCAGGAGCUCUGAGAGGGCCCAUUCCACUGUCACCGCCGAGCUCUCCGUGCCGCCAGCAAUGAGGUCCUACAGUGAAAGCCUUGACGCCCUCUCUGUUGAGCUUGACCUCGAGACCGGGAUCGCUGGCGAACUGCAGCAGCACGUCCACCAUGUCCUUGACCACGAAGCUCUCCCCCUCGUGCCCACGCCGCUCGCUGUGCUCGUCCACGACGUGCUCCAGGAACCGGUCGAACAUCUUGCUCAGCUUCUUCAUCCUCUUGAUGUACCCCUGCAGGUCCAUCCAGUCGAGCCACGGGAUGGAGUCGCCGAUGUUGAGCACGCCGUUGAGCAGGAACAGCUCGUCGAUCAUCCACUUGAACUCCUCAGGCGUCGUGAUCACCGCCCCUGCCUCGUCCCUCACCUCCUUCUCCAGGUACUUCUUGCCCAUCACCAUGCGCGUGAUCACGUUCAGGCUCACCGUGGACAGGUAGUCCUUGAGCACCACCACGCGGCCGGCACCGGCGCCGCCGCGGUACAGGUCGCCGAGGAGGGCGAGCACCUCCUCCCUGCGGAUGUACUCGUACGACUCGAGGCGCUUGGCGCUGAAGAGCUCGGUGAGGCACAUCUUGCGGGCCUGGCGCCAGUAGGCGCCGUAGGGGGACCAGGUGAUGUCGCUGUAGUUGUAGGUGGUGUACCUGCCGGCGGCGGUCUUGGGGCGGUCGGUGAACACCACGUCGUGGGUCUUGAGGAAGAACUUGGCCAUCUCCACGGAGGAGCCGACAACGACGGGGAAGGACCCGAACUGGAGUUGCAUGAGCGGGCCGUACUUCUUGGACAGCGCGUGGAUGGAGCGGUGCGGGAGCGUGCCGAUGAGGUUGAGGUUGCCGAUGAUCGGCCACGGCUUGGGGCCCGGCGGGAGGUUGUACUGGCGGCGGCGGCGGAGGACGGCCUUGAGGAAGAGCACCGUGGCGAGCACCACGCCGAGGAAGGACGCUAG